UUUCUGACAUUUGAAAAGAUCUGAAGAUACGCCCCUUGGAUGCCUGCAGAGAAGCUCUGGGGCUUCAGUCAAUGACUCAGGGUAGCCACCGAACAUGAUGCUCGGGCAGUGGGUGCCACCUGGACUCCACUCUCCCCUCUCUCUGGGAUCAUAGAGUCCAAGGUGUUCUGUGGCCUCUCGGCCAAUCCCAGCAGCUCAGCGUGCAGAAGACCGAGGAGCCAUUGGAAAAGAAAAAGAGAACAUAUAUCCCCCUACCUUUUGAUUUCCAACAGUCUACUGAGAGGCCAAGAUUAUUUGCAGGGAAAGAAAAGGGGUCAAAAUGUUUUGCCAGUAACUCCCAAAUCAUCUACAGCCAAGGAGAAAAGUGUUUCAAGACAGAGGUGCUCAAUGGUAUCAAAUACUGCCAACAGACCAAGUAAUACAUGCAUUGAAGUGUCUACUGGAUCUAGCUAUAUCACCAGAACAAGGUUAUGGUGGAAAACGCUAGAAAUGAAGAUUUUGUCCCCAGGGAUGGGGGAUACAAGUUACCAAAGUAGUGGCGAGAAAAGGAAUUUUUAAUUUAGGACACUUAGGCCAUACUGAAGCAAGGUGACAAAAUGAAUAGCUACAAUGUCUCGUGAAUCUUGGGUUUCCAUUCACCCUGGUAUUCAAGAGAAAUUCUUGCAUCAUGGAAGUUGCAGUUGGAUAGGACUUUCUCAGCUGAACACUGUCAUCUGCCAGAGCUUCAGGCAAGAACCCAGAACAGAUGAAACCCCAGACAUGACAAAAUAAGCCAAAGAAUACCAGGCCAAGGUGUGAAAGGCCAGAUGAGAACAAGCAGCGUACACGAUUCUGUUGCCAACAGAUCUCCCCUAACAGUGUCGUGCACCAAAUUUCCACAGUGAAUGUCAGGAAAAAAUGGCAAUUGAGGUGGGUGGUCAAAAGAGAAGCACAGUCUAUGAUGAAGUCACCCCAGAGAAGUCCUUUUUCCGUUUUCUCCUGAGAAAUUACCAGAAGAAAUUAAAAUCCUUUUGAGUAUUGCA
Molecule: long non-coding RNA, 1022 nt
Organism: Homo sapiens (human)
Lineage: Eukaryota; Metazoa; Chordata; Mammalia; Primates; Hominidae
Product: long intergenic non-protein coding RNA 710
Source: Ensembl